GAUGAACGCUGACAGAAUGCUUAACACAUGCAAGUCAACUGUGGCGGACGGGUGAGUAACGCGUAAAGAACUUGCCUCACAGCUAGGGACAACAUUUGGAAACGAAUGCUAAUACCUGAUACUGUGAGAUAGCUUUGCGUCCCAUUAGCUAGUUGGAGAGGUAACGGCUCACCAAGGCGAUGAUAGGUAGCCGGCCUGAGAGGUUGAUCGGCCACAAGGGGACUGAGACACGGCGCUUACUCCUACGGGAGGCAGCAGUGGGGAAUAUUGGACAAUGGACAAAAGUCUGAUCCAGCAAUUCUGUGUGCAAGAUGAAGUUUUCGGAAUGUAAAGGGCUUUCAGUUGGGAAGCGGUACCAACAGAAGAAGUGACGGCUAAAUACGUGCCAGCAGCCGCGGUAAUUC
This 404-nucleotide ribosomal RNA is filed under the name uncultured bacterium. RNAcentral's name for it is "partial 16S ribosomal RNA". It matches the Rfam family "Bacterial small subunit ribosomal RNA", at positions 28 to 526 of the family's 1533-position model. The record is from RNAcentral.